GUAGGUUUGUUGCCUCUGUUUGAUCCUCCAAGGCAUGACAGUGCUGAAACCUUUCACAGAGCUCUUAAUCUCGGUGUUUAUGUCAAGAUGAUCACUGGUGAUCAACUUGCCAUUGCUAAGGAAACUAGACGCCGACUUGGAAUGGGCACGAACAUGUACCCAUCUGCUUCUUUGCUGGGUUAAGACAAGGAUGCAAACAUAGCUGCCCUUCCAGUUGAAGAGUUGAUCGAGAAGACAGAUGGUUUUGCUGGCGUGUUUCCAGAGCACAAAUACGAAAUUGUGAA
Hibiscus syriacus is the source of this 284-nucleotide long non-coding RNA. RefSeq lists it as uncharacterized. The record is from RefSeq and is a predicted model, not a curated record. The transcript has 3 exons. Lineage: Eukaryota; Viridiplantae; Streptophyta; Magnoliopsida; Malvales; Malvaceae.